CUCAACUCCGACCCGGCAGUGGAAACUGGGGAGCUAGAGGGCGGCAGGGGCAGAAGGAAUUCCCGGUGUAGCGGUGAAAUGCGUAGAUAUCGGGAAGAACACCAGAGGCGAAAGCGUUCUGCUGGGCCGCACCUGACCCUGAGGGACGAAAGCCAGGGGAGCGAAUGGGAUUAGAUACCCCAGUAGUCCUGGCUGUAAACGAUGGAUACUAGGUGUUGGUCGUAUCGACCCGAUCGGCGCCGAAGCUAACGCGUUAAGUAUCCCGCCUGGGGAGUACGCACGCAAGUGUGAAACUCAAAGGAAUUGACGGGGGCCCGCACAAGCGGUGGAGUAUGUGGUUUAAUUCGACGCAACGCGAAGAACCUUACCAGGGCUUGACAUCCUCUGAAAAGCGUAGAGAUACGUUCCCUUAACUUCGGUUAAGCAG
This 427-nucleotide ribosomal RNA is filed under the name uncultured cyanobacterium. RNAcentral describes it as "bacterial SSU rRNA". It matches the Rfam family "Bacterial small subunit ribosomal RNA", at positions 608 to 1029 of the family's 1533-position model. Lineage: Bacteria; Bacillati; Cyanobacteriota. The record is from RNAcentral.